UGAGGAAUAUUGCGCAAUGGCCGAAAGGCUGACGCAGCGACGCCGCGUGGAGGAUGAAGUCCGUUAGGAUGUAAACUCCUUUUGCAGGGGAUGAAUGUUCCGCCUCGUGCGGACUUGACCGUACCCUGCGAAUAAGGAUCGGCCAACUACGUGCCAGCAGCCGCGGUAAUACGUAGGAUCCAAGCGUUGUCCGGAUUUACUGGGUGUAAAGGGCGUGUAGGUGGGUUUUUAAGUCGGUGGUGAAAUCCUGCAGCUCAACUGCAGAAUUGCCUCCGAUACUGGAAAUCUUGAGUGCGGCAGAGGGAGACGGAAUUCAUGGUGUAGCGGUGAAAUGUGUAGAUAUCAUGAAGAACACCGGUUGCGAAGGCGGUCUCCUGGUCCGUUACUGACACUGAGGCGC
This 400-nucleotide ribosomal RNA is filed under the name uncultured bacterium. Its description in RNAcentral is "bacterial SSU rRNA". It matches the Rfam family "Bacterial small subunit ribosomal RNA", at positions 355 to 754 of the family's 1533-position model. The record is from RNAcentral.